Chinchilla lanigera (long-tailed chinchilla) is the source of this 916-nucleotide long non-coding RNA. RefSeq lists it as uncharacterized. Lineage: Eukaryota; Metazoa; Chordata; Mammalia; Rodentia; Chinchillidae. The transcript has 4 exons. The record is from RefSeq and is a predicted model, not a curated record.
UUGAACUCAGGACCUCGUGCUUGCCUGGCAGGUGCUUGUGCUGCUGCUGAGCUAGCUCUCCAGCCCAAAGCAGUUAAUGUUCUUGUCUAGUGGGAGGAACUGGCUUUGAAUUUUUGCCCUCCACUCAGUAGUGUCUCCUAAUGAACCGGUUAUGACGCUGGGAGGAGCAGGAGGUGGCUUUCCCUGGCGCACCUGGCUCGCCCGGCUCCCUGGGCCUUUGCUCGGCUGCCGGGAGCAGCUCCCAUCCUCGCCCGCCGGUGCUCGGCCCCACACUCGGUGGGACGGGAGGAGUGGGGACAGCGGGCCUCCGCGAGGAUGCAGCCGUUGGGUUUCCCUGCUUUGUUCCUGAAAUUUCCUGAGGGGCGCACAAUUUGUUCAUUUCCUUUUGAGCCUGGGAGUCCAGAGCUGAGCCUCGAGACUGCUGGGAGGCUGUGCCACUGUGAUGCUGUGCAGUCCAGGCGUUGAACUCAAGACGCUGCCACCACCGCCACCACAACCUCCCAGGUGCUGAGACUCCAGGGGUGUGCCACCAGGCCUGCCUUCUCUCUUGUUGACAGACUUAGACUUUUAGGUUCCUGAGUGAGGAGGGCUGAAGGCAGCGACACAGCCCUGGCCAUAGCCCCGCUCCGGUGCCCUGCUGCCGUCUCCCCGCCGCAGAGGUUGGACGUGGCUGGGGACCACAGCCCAGGCCCUGUGUAUCCUCAGCACACUCUACACCAGAGAACCAUGAACCACACCCCAGCCACCCCCACCCCAGCUGGACCUGAGGCCUCACAGCCAGCACUGAGGAAGGCGGCGUCCUCGGCACGAGCUUCCUGGUGCAGGUCCAGCUGGUUCCUGGUAGCUGGGCGUGGUGGCGCGAGCUUAUAAUCUCAGCAUUCAGGGAGGCUGAGGCAGAAGGGUCAUAAGCUCAAGG